Molecule: ribosomal RNA, 253 nt
Filed under: uncultured bacterium
Lineage: Bacteria
Description: partial 16S ribosomal RNA
Rfam family: Bacterial small subunit ribosomal RNA
Source: RNAcentral
UACGUAGGAGACAAACGUUAUCCGGAGUUACUGGGCGUAAAGAGCUCGUAGGCGGUUUGUCGCGUCUGCCGUGAAAGUCCGGGGCUCAACUCCGGAUCUGCGGUGGGUACGGGCAGACUAGAGUGAUGUAGGGGAGACUGGAAUUCCUGGUGUAGCGGUGAAAUGCGCAGAUAUCAGGAGGAACACCGAUGGCGAAGGCAGGUCUCUGGGCAUUAACUGACGCUGAGGAGCGAAAGCAUGGGGAGCGAACAGG